Molecule: ribosomal RNA, 1806 nt
Filed under: Dermacentor andersoni
Lineage: Eukaryota; Metazoa; Arthropoda; Arachnida; Ixodida; Ixodidae
Description: small subunit ribosomal RNA
Rfam family: Eukaryotic small subunit ribosomal RNA
Source: RNAcentral
UACCUGGUUGAUCCUGCCAGUAAUCAUAUGCUUGUCUCAAAGAUUAAGCCAUGCAUGUCUAAGUACAUGCCGAAAUAAGGCGAAACCGCGAAUGGCUCAUUAAAUCAGUUAUGGUUCCUUAGAUCGUUUCUUCCUACUUGGAUAACUGUGGCAAUUCUAGAGCUAAUACAUGCAGUGAGCCUGAAGCCCUUUGGGCGACGGGUGCUUUUAUUAGACCAAGAUCGAUCGGGUUUCGGCCCGUAUUGUGUGGUGACUCUGGAUAACUUUGUGCUGAUCGCAUGGCCACGAGCCGGCGACGUUUCUUUCAAGUGUCUGCCUUAUCAACUUUCGAUGGUAGGUUACUUGCUUACCAUGGUUGUUACGGGUAACGGAGAAUCAGGGUUCGAUUCCGGAGAGGGAGCCUGAGAAACGGCUACCACAUCCAAGGAAGGCAGCAGGCGCGCAAAUUACCCACUCCCGGCACGGGGAGGUAGUGACGAAAAAUAACAAUACGGGACUCUUUUGAGGCCCCGUAAUUGAAAUGAGUACACUCUAAAUCCUUUAACGAGGAUCAAUUGGAGGGCAAGUCUGGUGCCAGCAGCCGCGGUAAUUCCAGCUCCAAUAGCGUAUACUAAAGCUGCUGCGGUUAAAAAGCUCGUAGUUGGAUCUCAGUUCCAGACGAGUAGUGCAUCUACCCGAUGCGACGGCUCGGACUGAACAUCAUGCCGGUCCUUUCUUGGUGCACUUCAUUGUGUGCCUCGAGAAGGCCGGUGCUUUUACUUUGAAAAAAUUAGAGUGCUCAACGCAGGCGAGUCGCCUGAAUAAACUUGCAUGGAAUAAUAGAACAAGACCUCGUUUCUGUUCUGUUGGUUUUUGGAAUACGAGGUAAUGAUUAAGAGGGACAGACGGGGGCAUUCGUAUUGCGGCGCUAGAGGUGAAAUUCUUGGACCGUCGCAAGACGAACUACUGCGAAAGCAUUUGCCAAGAAUGUUUUCUUUGAUCAAGAACGAAAGUCAGAGGUUCGAAGGCGAUCAGAUACCGCCCUAGUUCUGACCAUAAACGAUGCCAACCAGCGAUCCCGCCUGAGUUACUCAAAUGACUCGGCGGGCAGCUUCCGGGAAACCAAAGUGUUUGGGUUCCGGGGGAAGUAUGGUUAUCUGUCUCGCGUGUGUACGGAAGGGCACCACCAGGAGUGGAGCCUGCGGCUUAAUUUGACUCAACACGGGAAAACUUACCCGGCCCGGACACUGGGAGGAUUGACAGAUUGAGAGCUCUUUCUUGAUUCGGUGGAUGGUGGUGCAUGGCCGUUCUUAGUUGGUGGAGCGAUUUGUCUGGUUAAUUCCGAUAACGAACGAGACUCUAGCCUAUUAAAUAGGUGCGGGGUUCCCAGCACCUUACAACCUUCUUAGAGGGACAAGCGGCUCCUAGCCGCACGAACAGAGCAAUAACAGGUCUGUGAUGCCCUUAGAUGUCCGGGGCCGCACGCGCGCUACACUGAAGGAAGCAGCGUGUCUUUAUCCCUGUCUGAAAGGACUGGGUAACCCGUGGAACUUCUUUCGUGAUUGGGAUAGGGGCUUGCAAUUGUUCCCCUUGAACGAGGAAUUCCCAGUAAGCGCGAGUCAUAAGCUCGCGUUGAUUACGUCCCUGCCCUUUGUACACACCGCCCGUCGCUACUACCGAUUGAAUGAUUUAGUGAGGUCUUCGGACCGAUGUCCGGCGCGGCCUUUCGGUUGCGCCGGUCUGUUGGAAAGAUGACCAAACUUGAUCAUUUAGAGGAAGUAAAGUCGUAACAAGGUUUCCGUAGGUGAACCUGCGGAAGGAUCAUUA